Molecule: ribosomal RNA, 580 nt
Filed under: Bacteroides sp. ECP-C1
Lineage: Bacteria; Pseudomonadati; Bacteroidota; Bacteroidia; Bacteroidales; Bacteroidaceae
Description: bacterial SSU rRNA
Rfam family: Bacterial small subunit ribosomal RNA
Source: RNAcentral
CCUACGGGAGGCAGCAGUGAGGAAUAUUGGUCAAUGGGCGAGAGCCUGAACCAGCCAAGUCGCGUGAAGGAAGAAGGUUCUAUGGAUUGUAAACUUCUUUUGUAAGGGAAUAAAGUUCGCUACGUGUAGCGUUUUGUAUGUACUUUACGAAUAAGGAUCGGCUAACUCCGUGCCAGCAGCCGCGGUAAUACGGAGGAUCCGAGCGUUAUCCGGAUUUAUUGGGUUUAAAGGGUGCGCAGGCGGGUCCUUAAGUCAGUGGUGAAAGUUUGCAGCUCAACUGUAAAAUUGCCAUUGAAACUGAGGGUCUUGAGUGUAAAUGAGGUAGGCGGAAUGUGUUGUGUAGCGGUGAAAUGCUUAGAUAUAACACAGAACACCAAUUGCGAAGGCAGCUUACUAGGAUACAACUGACGCUCAGGCACGAAAGCGUGGGGAUCAAACAGGAUUAGAUACCCUGGUAGUCCACGCAGUAAACGAUGAAUACUAACUGUAUGCGAUAUACUGUAUGUGGUAAAGCGAAAGCGUUAAGUAUUCCACCUGGGGAGUACGUUCGCAAGAAUGAAACUCAAAGGAAUUGACGGGG